UUGGCUGGCUCCUCUAUCCAGGACAGGAAAAGGGUUGGGGUGGAUGGGAGGCGGGACCGCCCGCACUGGCAGAUGCAAGAGAACACCAGCAGCCCGACCGGAGUCGGUAGCUGGCGGAUGAUAGUUUUAGUGCUAUGGAAUUUUGAAUGUCGCGUAGGAUUAACCAAAAGCAAAAGGCGGCGUUUGGUGUGUGUAUCCAAUUAUAACAGCAGCAGUUGGCAAGGACGAGGUUAUCUAUAUUAUCAUCUAUUGCCGUGACCCAGGCAGGGCGUGUCGAGCUCCAGCACAGCUGUCUAGACCAUUAACAUAAUUUCUGAAUGCAGUCGAACUGCCUAUAGACCGUCUCAUCCUCCUAUAAAAACAUAAUACGCAUGCGAAAUGAAGCACCCCAUUAAUUCCUGGGAGCACGGUGUCAAAAGUUCCCGCCGUAAUAGAGUAAUCGUUCCUGAUUGCUCACAGCUGUGGAAAAGAUGGUAAUAAUGGGUAACCAAGCAGGAGAAAUACCACCAUGUAGUCGUUGUUUUGUAUAUAACAGACUACCUGGAAACAUAACAAAGAUUCCCGGCCGGUUUUACGAUCAGAAGAGGACUGUAUAAACACAAGACUAGCCUAUACUAAAAAGAGGCAAGACGUAGCCCAGUGGUAAAUCACUCACUUGAUGCG
This 663-nucleotide long non-coding RNA is filed under the name Gigantopelta aegis. RNAcentral describes it as "uncharacterized LOC121369066, transcript variant X1". Lineage: Eukaryota; Metazoa; Mollusca; Gastropoda; Neomphalida; Peltospiridae. The record is from RNAcentral.